CAGUCGCCGCGGUAAUACGUAGGUGGCAAGCGUUGUCCGGAGUUAUUGGGCGUAAAGGGCUCGCAGGUGGUUUCUUAAGUCUGAUGUGAAAGCCCCCGGCUCAACCGGGGAGGGUCAUUGGAAACUGGGAAACUUGAGUGCAGAAGAGGAGAGUGGAAUUCCACGUGUAGCGGUGAAAUGCGUAGAGAUGUGGAGGAACACCAGUGGCGAAGGCGACUCUCUGGUCUGUAACUGACGCUGAGGAGCGAAAGCGUGGGGAGCGAACAGGAUUAGAUACCCCAGUAGUCCCUGUCUCUUAUAC
Molecule: ribosomal RNA, 301 nt
Filed under: uncultured bacterium
Lineage: Bacteria
Description: partial 16S ribosomal RNA
Rfam family: Bacterial small subunit ribosomal RNA
Source: RNAcentral